GAUGAACGCUGGCGGCGUGCUUAACACAUGCAAGUCGAACGAUGAAGCCCAGCUUGCUGGGUGGAUUAGUGGCGAACGGGUGAGUAACACGUGAGUAACCUGCCCUUAACUCUGGGAUAAGCCUGGGAAACUGGGUCUAAUACCGGAUAGGAGCGUCCACCGCAUGGAGGGUGUUGGAAAGAUUUAUCGGUUUUGGAUGGACUCGCGGCCUAUCAGCUUGUUGGUGAGGUAAUGGCUCACCAAGGCGACGACGGGUAGCCGGCCUGGGAGGGUGACCGGCCACACUGGGACUGAGACACGGCCCAGACUCCUACGGGAGGCAGAAGUGGGGAAUAUUGCACAAUGGGCGCAAGCCUGAUGCAGCGACGCCGCGUGCGGGAUGACGGCCUUCGGGUUGUAAACCUCUUUCAGUAGGGAAGAAGCGAAAGUGACGGUACCUGCAGAAGAAGCACCGGCUAACUACGUG
Molecule: ribosomal RNA, 466 nt
Filed under: uncultured bacterium
Lineage: Bacteria
Description: partial 16S ribosomal RNA
Rfam family: Bacterial small subunit ribosomal RNA
Source: RNAcentral